This 468-nucleotide ribosomal RNA is filed under the name uncultured bacterium. RNAcentral describes it as "partial 16S ribosomal RNA". It matches the Rfam family "Bacterial small subunit ribosomal RNA", at positions 28 to 507 of the family's 1533-position model. The record is from RNAcentral.
GACGAACGCUGGCGGCGUGCUUAACACAUGCAAGUCGAACGGAAAGGCCCUGCUUUUGUGGGGUGCUCGUGUGGCGAACGGGUGAGUAACACGCGAGUAACCUGCCCUUGACUUUGGGAUAACUUCAGGAAACUGGGGCUAAUACCGGAUAGGAGAUCUUGCUGCAUGGUGGGGGUUGGAAAGUUUCGGCCGUUGGGGAUGGACUCGCGGCUUAUCGGCUUGAUGGUGGGGUAGUGGCUUACCAAGCCUUUGACGGGUAGCCGGCAUGGGAGGGUGACCGGCCACAUUGGGACUGAGGGACGGACCAGAAUCCUACGUGAGGCAGCAGUGGGAAAUAUUGCGCAAUGGGCGGAAGCCUGAUACAGCAGCGCCGCGUGCGGGAUGACGGCCUUCGGGGUAUAAACCGCUUUCGCCUGUGACGAAGCGUGAGUGACGGUAAUGGGUAAGGAAGCACCGGCUAACUACGUG